CUUACAAUGCAGAACUAAUAAACCUCAAGGCCGCCAGCACCUGCCACGUGGGCGCCAAACUACUGAGCAUAGCGCUCACGAAACUACCCCCCAUCGCCCACAACAACACUAGUCGCCUGCCGCGAGUGUCGGAGAGGUGACUGAUAAUCUUACCAGCAAAUGGCAUAGACGAGAGCACUCCAAUCUGCUGCAAAUUCAUCCCCAGGUCGCAGGUGGCCGCUGUAACGAUGAUGCCGAGUCCAAAGAUGUCGAUACCCAUCGCCACGAUCACCAUGAAACACGCAAACAACAGUCCAACGUUGUAUCUCCCAUGACCUGGAAAUUGAUUAUAUAUGAUAAGAUUUCUAACAUUUACCUGACUUGUUAUUUAUGACAAGUUCAUCUCCCAAGUGAACACAGAACAACGUCUGUGUUACAGAUUACUAGCAAACAGAUCAGAAAAUUCUUCUGAUGCUACUAACAGCAAGUCAACUGUUAAAAUCAAAAAAGUAACCUUUAUUGUGGUACUUUAAGUAAAUAAUACCAACAAAAAAAACAAAAGUGUUGAACAUUUUUUUAACACAAUAAAAGGUGACUGCACAAACAAUUUUAUCAUAAAUUAUUAUAAUAAUUUGAACUUGUUAUGGUAAUUAUGUUUUCGUGAUUAUAUUAUCUUAAUUUUUUCUAUAUUUUUUAAAAGAAUUCGCCAACGAGAAUGAAGGACGCGAUCAUUUGAAUUGCAAAUUUUCACCUACUUGAGGAAAUAAAUUAAUUUGCUACUGCAACAACAUUGUCACGUGUGACACGUGGCCGUGUUACAAACGAGAUAUAAUUUAUCGAACCGGUGAGAUUCAGUUCCCGUUACAUUGGUAAUAAUGAUAAUAUUUACAUCAAAUAAUAAUUUAUUAAUUGAUAAAUAAUUUACGGCCGCAAGUGGUUUCAACGUUUGGAUGUCGUGUCGUCAUAAAACCUUAUGAUUUAUAUUUAAAAUCUUUUGUUUGUUUGUUUACCUCGACCUGUUAACGCGAUCCGCUCGAACAUUCAAAAUCUAUGAACGAAAACCGUUAGUCAAGAAACAAGUCACUAUAAACACGAAUAUAAAGUACACUAAAAGAUUUUAAUUUUCGUUACUUUUCUUAUCAUUUAAUUAAGACAAAGAGUACAUUUUUAAUGUGACUGUAGUACCUAUCGGAGGAAAGAUGAUAGUAAUACACAUGUUAUGCUUUGAAAUUAUUUACCGGUUUUAUAAUAAAAUAUAUGCACUUAUAAAAGUCUCUCGGUUUGAGCGUUUUUGUUUACAUCGAGCGAAAACAUUAAAGUAUAACAGUUCUUAACUUAGUGAUGGUACAGCAUCUUAUUACAACAAUUAAAAACUCCUUAUCUCUCAAUCACCUGUCAAUUCCAACGCCUCCUCGUAUCCGUACACAACCUCCUUCACACCAUCACUCAUUUCCAUAUCACUACGGUUCCUAUCCAUUUCAUACGACUUAUAUUUCAAUGUUAUUGUAAUAUAAUUGUUUAUACAUUAUUCAGUUAAUUAAUUUAUUGAUGUGAAUCGUUGCUUCGUCUUAUUUUUUAUAAACUUCAUUAAUACUUAAUUAUUCAUUAUUAUAUAUUACUGUUUU
Molecule: long non-coding RNA, 1604 nt
Organism: Danaus plexippus (monarch butterfly)
Lineage: Eukaryota; Metazoa; Arthropoda; Insecta; Lepidoptera; Nymphalidae
Exons: 2
Source: RefSeq, a predicted model, not a curated record